This 367-nucleotide ribosomal RNA is filed under the name Triticum aestivum (bread wheat). RNAcentral's name for it is "partial small subunit ribosomal RNA". Lineage: Eukaryota; Viridiplantae; Streptophyta; Magnoliopsida; Poales; Poaceae. The record is from RNAcentral.
GCUUCUUCGGGUUGGUUCCGAUAACGUCGCGUUUGUGAGGAUCCGUUCGACUACGUCCGUUUGUCUUCUUCAUGGACUCGUUCUUCUUCCUUGCGGGAUUUCAGCUUGCAGGUGCCGAUGAGUCUGUGCAGAUGACGCAACCAAGCUCAAGGAGGAGCUCGAUGAAGAUCUUGCCCUUUGUGUUGUUUCGUUCUAGUUGAUCAGUAGUGGAGCCCAGUUGGGGUCGAUCGGGGACCUUUGUCGCAUUUGGGGUUCUUCUUUUAUUUUGGUUCCGUAGUCGGACCUUGAUUGUAUCUGGAUGAUGUAAUGCUUUAUUCAUUUAACUGUGUGAAGUGGCGAUUGUAAGCCAACUAUGUAUCUCUUUCCC